CUGUUAAGUUUUUUUGAAUAUAAAAUAUUAUUAGUAUUAAAAAUAUUUUUUUAAAUAAAAUAUUAUUUAUUUUAGUAUAAUAAAUAAAUAAUUUAGAAUAAUUAAAGUUUAUUGUAUAUAAGUAGAUUUAUUUAAAAUAAUUUAAAGGUGAUUUAAAAUUUGUACCUUUUGUAUCAGGGUUUAAUAAAAAUUUUUUAUAUAAUCAAUUCUCGAAUAAUUAAGAUUUAAUUUUUUAUAAUUAUAAAUGUGGCAAAAUUUAAUUAAAUAAGAAGUUGGUAAUGAAAAGUUAAUCGUUUAAUUAGGAUUCUAGUUUUUAAGUAAAUUAAUUUAAUUAAUUUUUUAAUAAUUUUUUAAUUUUUGUUUAAUAAAAUAUAUUAAAAAAUAAAUUAUAAAGAGUUUAUUUUUUAUAAGUUUUAUAUUUAAUUAUAAAGUGAUUUUUUUCUAAAUUUAAUAUUGAUAAAUGAAAUAUAGUUUUUUACAAAAAAAAAAUUGUUUUAUUAAAUUUAUUUUUAAUUAAUUAUUUACUUAAAGAUUAUUUUUAAUAAAUUAAAAUAUGGUAUAAUAUUAAAAUUAGUAAAUUUUAAAAUUUAUAUAUAGGAAUUCGGCAAAAAAUUUUUUGCCUGUUUAUCAAAAACAUGUCUUUUUGUUUUUAUUUAAAGUCCAAUCUGCUCACUGAAAUUUAAAGAGCCGCAGUAUUUUAACUGUGCAAAGGUAGCAUAAUAAAUAGUUUUUUAAUUGAAAGCUGGAAUGAAAGAUUAGACAAAAAAAUAGCUUUCUUUUUUAAAUAAUAUUGAAUUUAAAAUUUAAGUAAAAAUACUUAAAUAAAAUUAAAAGACGAGAAGACCCUAUAGAUUUUUAUUUAUUUAAAAAUACAAUAAAAAUUUUAUUUUGAAUAAAUUUAAUUGGGGCGAUUUUGUAAUAAAUUUAACUUAAUAUAAUAAAACCAUUAAUAAUUGAAUAUUUUGAUCUAAAUUUUUUAAAUAAUAGAUUAAAUUACCUUAGGGAUAACAGCGUAAUUUUAUUUAAGAGUUCAUAUCUAUAAUAAAGGUUGCGACCUCGAUGUUGAAUUAAGAAAUAUAUAGGAGCAGAAAUUUAUAAUUAUUAGUCUGUUCGACUAUUAAAUUCUUACAUGAUUUGAGUUCAGACCGGCGUGAGCCAGGUCAGUUUCUAUCUUUAAUUUUAUUUUAUAAAUAAGUACGAAAGGACAAUUUAUAAAUAAAAUUUAUUAAAUAUUG
Molecule: ribosomal RNA, 1235 nt
Filed under: Graphocaecilius interpretatus
Lineage: Eukaryota; Metazoa; Arthropoda; Insecta; Psocodea; Sphaeropsocidae
Description: 16S ribosomal RNA
Rfam family: Archaeal large subunit ribosomal RNA (bases 1004-1162)
Source: RNAcentral